This 270-nucleotide ribosomal RNA is filed under the name uncultured archaeon. Its description in RNAcentral is "partial 16S ribosomal RNA". It matches the Rfam family "Archaeal small subunit ribosomal RNA", at positions 477 to 747 of the family's 1478-position model. The record is from RNAcentral.
CAGCACCUCAAGUGGUCAGGAUGAUUAUUGGGCCUAAAGCAUCCGUAGCCGGCUCUGUAAGUUUUCGGUUAAAUCUGUACGCUCAACGUACAGACUGCCGGGAAUACUGCAGAGCUAGGGAGUGGGAGAGGUAGACGGUACUCGGUAGGAAGGGGUAAAAUCCUUUGAUCUAUUGAUGACCACCUGUGGCGAAGGCGGUCUACCAGAACACGUCCGACGGUGAGGGAUGAAAGCUGGGGGAGCAAACCGGAUUAGAUACCCGAGUAGUCC